Molecule: long non-coding RNA, 116 nt
Organism: Etheostoma spectabile (orangethroat darter)
Lineage: Eukaryota; Metazoa; Chordata; Actinopteri; Perciformes; Percidae
Exons: 3
Source: RefSeq, a predicted model, not a curated record
AGCAUUUCAAUAAAUAAUUAAAGCUAUAGUUCUUAGUUUCUGUCGCCUCCAUGAGGAAUUAUAAGUAAUAACAACAAAACUGUUGUUGCAUCCACAUGACACAAGCCUUCGGUGAU